This 253-nucleotide ribosomal RNA is filed under the name uncultured bacterium. RNAcentral's name for it is "partial 16S ribosomal RNA". It matches the Rfam family "Bacterial small subunit ribosomal RNA", at positions 524 to 776 of the family's 1533-position model. The record is from RNAcentral.
GACGAACCGUGCAAACGUUGUUCGGAUUCACUGGGCUUAAAGGGCGCGUAGGCGGGUGGUCAAGUCAGGGGUGAAAUCCUCCAGCUCAACUGGAGAACAGCUUUUGAUACUGGCCAUCUUGAGGGAGGUAGGGGCAUGUGGAACUUCCGGUGGAGCGGUGAAAUGCGUAGAUAUCGGAAGGAACGCCGGUGGCGAAAGCGACGUGCUGGACCUUUUCUGACGCUGAGGCGCGAAAGCCAGGGGAGCAAACGGG